CAGCCGCCGCGGGAAUACAGAGGGUGCAAGCGUUGUCCAGAAUUAUUGGGCGUAAAGGGCUCGCAGGCGGUUUCUUAAGUCUGAUGUGAAAGCCCCCGGCUCAACCGGGGAGGGUCAUUGGAAACUGGGAAACUUGAGUGCAGAAGAGGAGAGUGGAAUUCCACGUGUAGCGGUGAAAUGCGUAGAGAUGUGGAGGAACACCAGUGGCGAAGGCGACUCUCUGGUCUGUAACUGACGCUGAGGAGCGAAAGCGUGGGGAGCGAACAGGAUUAGAUACCCCCGUAGUCCCUGUCUCUAUACA
Molecule: ribosomal RNA, 301 nt
Filed under: uncultured bacterium
Lineage: Bacteria
Description: partial 16S ribosomal RNA
Rfam family: Bacterial small subunit ribosomal RNA
Source: RNAcentral